CGGGCCGCCGGUGAAUACCACUACUCUCA
Molecule: non-coding RNA, 29 nt
Filed under: Mus musculus (house mouse)
Lineage: Eukaryota; Metazoa; Chordata; Mammalia; Rodentia; Muridae
Source: RNAcentral